RNAcentral lists this ribosomal RNA (440 nucleotides) under uncultured bacterium. RNAcentral's name for it is "partial 16S ribosomal RNA". It matches the Rfam family "Bacterial small subunit ribosomal RNA", at positions 338 to 795 of the family's 1533-position model. The record is from RNAcentral.
UCUACGGGAGGCAGCAGUGGGGAAUAUUGCACAAUGGGCGAGAGCCUGAUCCAGCAAAGCCGCGUGAGGGAAGAAGUAUCUCGGUAUGGAAAGCUCUAUCAGCAGGGAAGAAAAUGACGGUACCUGAGUAAGAAGCCCCUGCUAACUACGUGCCAGCAGCCGCGGUUAUACGGGGGGGGCAACCGUUAUCCGGAUUUACUGGGGGUAUAGGGAGCGUAGGAGGGGAGACAGGUCUGAAGUGAAAGCUCGGGCCCCAUCCGCGGGACUGCCUUGGAAACUGGCGGACUGGAGUGCUGUAGAGGUAAGCGGAAUUCCUGGUGUAGCGGUGAAAUGCAUAGAUAUUAGGAAGAACACCGGUGGCGAAGGCAGCAUGCUGGCCAGUAACUGACGUUGAGGCGCGAAAGCGUGGGGAGCAAACAGGAUUAGAUACCCGUGUAGUC